RNAcentral lists this non-coding RNA (29 nucleotides) under Mus musculus (house mouse). The record is from RNAcentral. Lineage: Eukaryota; Metazoa; Chordata; Mammalia; Rodentia; Muridae.
UGAGAUUUGAGUGGAGAACACCAUUUCUC